AGGACGAACGCUGGCGGCGUGCUUAACACAUGCAAGUCGAGCGGUAAGGCCUUUUCGGGGUACACGAGCGGCGAACGGGUGAGUAACACGUGGGUGAUCUGCCCUGCACUCUGGGAUAAGCCUGGGAAACUGGGUCUAAUACCGGAUAUGACCUGCUCUCGCAGUGGGGGUGGUGAAAGAUUUAUCGGUGCAGGAUGGGCCCGCGGCCUAUCAGGCUUGGUUGGUGGGGUAAUGGCCUACCAAGGUCGACGACGGGUAGCCGACCUGAGACGGGUGACCGGCACGACGUGGGACUGGAGACACGGCCCAGACCUCGACGGGAGCAGCAGUGGGAAUA
RNAcentral lists this ribosomal RNA (337 nucleotides) under uncultured soil bacterium. Its description in RNAcentral is "bacterial SSU rRNA". It matches the Rfam family "Bacterial small subunit ribosomal RNA", at positions 26 to 363 of the family's 1533-position model. The record is from RNAcentral.